UUUUCGUAGGUGAACCUGCGAAAGGAUCAUUAUCGGCACAUCCCUAUCCGCUUUCUAAAGCGAGGCGGCCGCGCGUCGCCGGAGUCUCGGAAGCAUGCGUGGUGGACGGCUCGGUUCCCGCGUCGAUGAAGGACGUAGCGAGAUACGAAAGGUGUUGCGAAUUGCAAGAUUUCGCGAGUCAAUGACCAUCCGAAUGCAUCGCCGCCCUCCCCUCGCCCCCGGGCGGAGGGAGGACGCGUCGGCGACAUCGCCCCGCACGCUCGCUCUCCCUCGAGAGAGGAGAGGCGCCCGUGGACGGAAGCACCCGGCAGGCGUGUCCGUGCCCCCGCGCACCGUCGCGCCGCGUGGCCUCCAGCGACCCGCGGUCAGGACGGCAAGGAAGCAAGCCGCGAUGUCGUCGGCGAGGAAACCCGCUGAACUUAAGCAUAUCAUUAAGCGG
Molecule: ribosomal RNA, 439 nt
Filed under: Halimeda micronesica
Lineage: Eukaryota; Viridiplantae; Chlorophyta; Ulvophyceae; Bryopsidales; Halimedaceae
Description: eukaryotic LSU rRNA
Rfam family: 5.8S ribosomal RNA (bases 91-247)
Source: RNAcentral